This 492-nucleotide ribosomal RNA is filed under the name uncultured bacterium. RNAcentral describes it as "partial 16S ribosomal RNA". It matches the Rfam family "Bacterial small subunit ribosomal RNA", at positions 29 to 507 of the family's 1533-position model. The record is from RNAcentral.
AGUGAACGCUGGCGGUAGGCCUAACACGUGCAAGUCGAACGGCAGCACAGUAAGAGCUUGCUCUUACGGGUGGCGAGUGGCGGACGGGUGAGGAAUACAUCGGAAUCUACUUUUUCGUGGGGGUUCAUGUAGGGAAACUUACGCUAAUACCGCAUACGACCUACGGGUGAAAGCAGGGGAUCUUCGGACCUUGCGCGAUUGAAUGAGCCGAUGUCGGAUUAGCUAGUUGGCGGGGUAAUGGCCCACCAAGGCGACGAUCCGUAGCUGGUCUGAGUGGAUGAUCAGCCACACUGGAACUGAGACACGGACCAGACUCCUACGGGAGGCGGCAGUGGGGAAUAUUGGACAAUGGGCGCAAGCAUGAUCCAGCCAGACCGCGUGGGAGAAGAAGGCCUUCGGGUUGUAAAGCCCUUUUGUGGGGAAAGAAAAGCAGCAGGUUAAUACCCCGCUGUUCUGACGGUACCCAAAGAAUAAGCACCGGCUAACUUCGUG